GUAGACGUUAAGCUCAGUGGUUAGAGCACAGGCCUCUGGUUCUCGGGUCCGCGAGUUCAAGUCCCGUCGUUUACU
RNAcentral lists this transfer RNA (75 nucleotides) under Trichomalopsis sarcophagae. RNAcentral describes it as "tRNA-OTHER". Lineage: Eukaryota; Metazoa; Arthropoda; Insecta; Hymenoptera; Pteromalidae. The record is from RNAcentral.